Molecule: transfer RNA, 54 nt
Filed under: Metriorrhynchini sp. UPOL ZL2010
Lineage: Eukaryota; Metazoa; Arthropoda; Insecta; Coleoptera; Lycidae
Also listed under: 1 other name
Description: partial tRNA-Ser
Source: RNAcentral
AUUGAAAUGCCAUUAAAAAGCUUCUAACUUUUUGUUAAGCAUUAACCUGUUUGC